This 787-nucleotide long non-coding RNA is filed under the name Cricetulus griseus (Chinese hamster). RNAcentral's name for it is "lncRNA (ENSCGRG00015041566.1)". Lineage: Eukaryota; Metazoa; Chordata; Mammalia; Rodentia; Cricetidae. The record is from RNAcentral.
GUGUGCUAGGGUUUUUUCUUCUUGAUGGGCAGGUGUGCUAGGGUUUUUUGUUCUUGAUGGGCAGGUUGCUAGUUUUUUGUUGUUGUUGUUGUUGUUGCUGUGACCUAACACAUGACAAGAAGCAGUUUACGAUAGGAUGGAUUUAUUUGGGGUCAUGGUUUGAAGGUGUUGACUAUCAUGUUCGGGGCACAGCAGAACUGUUCAUGGAUUAGCAGCAGAACUGGGGAGCUGUUUGUUCACAUCUCAGUGAACCAGGAAGCAGAGAUCUAGAAAUGAUGGCUGUCUUCCAGCUUCUCCUUUUUCCUGUUUGUUUGGCCUUGGUCCCCAGUUGGUGGGAUGGUGCCAUGAUCAAGGUGGGUCUUCCCACCUCAGUCUCUCUGGAAACACCCACAGAUGAAUCCAGAAGUGGGUCUUCCAGAAAAUUCUAAAUAUAGUCUCACUAACAGUGAAGAUUGACUAUCACUCCAUGUAACCAGAGUCUGGGCACAAUCCCAUACACAACAACCUUGGUCCAAUACAGAGAGAGAAGCCACAGAAAAAUUUAAAUUAAUAUGAAGAAGCGUUAGCCUCAAUGAGGCUUCCAGUCAUGAGAACUGACUAGUAAGAAGGAAAACCAGAAGAAAACAGAACUGGCAGGUGCCACGACUCAAACAGUGGUGGAGGGGUGUCCUUAGAACUCUGGGGCUACAAGAGGGCACUGUUGGGACAGUCACAUUUGAACUGAGUUCUGAAGGAAUGGCUGAGAAGUGGACCUGUGCAGAUCAAGGGCCCUGAGGCUCUCUACUGU